RNAcentral lists this ribosomal RNA (404 nucleotides) under Actinomycetes bacterium. RNAcentral describes it as "Actinobacteria bacterium partial 16S ribosomal RNA". It matches the Rfam family "Bacterial small subunit ribosomal RNA", at positions 355 to 776 of the family's 1533-position model. The record is from RNAcentral. Lineage: Bacteria; Bacillati; Actinomycetota; Actinomycetes.
UGGGGAAUUUUGGACAAUGGGCGCAAGUCUGCUCCAGCCAUGCCGCGUGAGAGAUGAAGGCCCUAGGGUUGUAAAGCCCUUUCACCGGUGAAGAUAAUGACGGUAACCGGAGAAGAAGCCCCGGCUAACUCCGUGCCAGCAGCCGCGGUAAUACGAAGGGGGCUAGCGUUGUUCGGAUUUACUUGGCGUAAAGCGCACGUAGGCGGACUUUUAAGUCAGGGGUGAAAUCCCGGGGCUCAACCCCGGAACUGCCUUUGAUACUGGAAGUCUUGAGUAUGGUAGAGGUGAGUGGAAUUCCGAGUGUAGAGAUGAGAUUCGUCGAUAUUCGGAGGAACACCAGUGGCGAAGGCGGCUCACUUGACCAUUACUAACACUGAGAUGCGCAAGCGUGGGGGGCAAAAAGG